CCCUUAGAUGUUCUGGGCCGCACGCGCGCUACACUGAUGCAUUCAACAAGCCUAGCCUUGACCGAGAGGUCCGGGUAAUCUUUGAAACUGCAUCGUGAUGGGGCUAGAUUAUUGCAAUUAUUAAUCUUCAACGAGGAAUGCCUAGUAAGCGUGAUUCAUCAAAUCGCGUUGAUUACGUCCCUGCCCUUUGUACGCACCGCCCGUCGCUCCUACCGAUUGAAUGUGUUGGUGAGGAGCUCGGAUUGGCAGCAGUUGGUGGUUCGCCACCGGCUAUUGCUGAGAAGUCCUCCAAACCGCCCCAUUUAGAGGAAGGAGAAGUCGUAACA
Molecule: ribosomal RNA, 326 nt
Filed under: uncultured eukaryote
Lineage: Eukaryota
Description: partial 18S ribosomal RNA
Rfam family: Eukaryotic small subunit ribosomal RNA
Source: RNAcentral